ACGUAGGGUGCAAGCGUUGUCCGGAUUUACUGGGCGUAAAGAGCGCGUAGGCGGCUCGUUAAGUGAGAAGUGAAAGCUCUGGGCUCAACCCAGAAACCGCUUUUCAUACUGGCAAGCUGGAGUGAUGCAGAGGUGGAUAGAAUUCCCGGUGUAGCGGUGAAAUGCGUUGAUAUCGGGAGGAAUACCCGUGGCGAAGGCGGCCAUCUGGACGGUAACUGACGCUGAGACGCGAAAGCGUGGGUAGCAAACAGGA
RNAcentral lists this ribosomal RNA (253 nucleotides) under uncultured prokaryote. Its description in RNAcentral is "partial 16S ribosomal RNA". It matches the Rfam family "Bacterial small subunit ribosomal RNA", at positions 525 to 777 of the family's 1533-position model. The record is from RNAcentral.